UUUAAUUCUAUUAGGAGUCUAGUUACAGGCUGCUGAGCUGAAUUGACUUUGGGCCAGUGGUGUACUAGCACUGAGGCUCCCUUACUACAAGCUGAAAUCACUAAAGAGCUAAAAUUACUGAGAGCUGAAAUCACUGAGCUGGGAGCACUGCAGUACUG
Molecule: long non-coding RNA, 158 nt
Organism: Gopherus evgoodei (Goodes thornscrub tortoise)
Lineage: Eukaryota; Metazoa; Chordata; Testudines; Testudinidae
Exons: 3
Source: RefSeq, a predicted model, not a curated record